GCUGCCUCCCCGAGGCCAUCCUUAGUCCCACGGGACCUGGCCACAGGGCAGACCCGCCCCUGGCUGGGGGCCUCCAGGGCAGGUGUGGGAGAGCUGGGGGUGCAGGUGACCAGGCCUGACUUCCGGCUGACGGGCACUUUUCUCAAGUUCCAGCGGUAGAUCUUCACAGCCACCAGCGCUGCAGCCAGGUGCCCAGCUGCAGAGGUGGACAAGACACUCUCGGAGGCUGAAGAAGUUGCCCUGGGCCAUUUCAGACUUCUCUCUGACAGGCUGCAAACCCUGCCUUCCUCCAGCUAGAUCCUCACUCAGGCGUCCUUGGGAGCCAGGGCAGUGGGAGCCAGGACCUGUUGCCUACCUCGCUGGGGGUGGGACCAGGACCCCCAUCCACUCUCUGACCCACACCUGAAGAAGACCAGCCACAUCUGUAAUCCUCAGCUCAGGAGGCUGAGGCAGGAGGAUUGCAAGUUCAAGGCCAGCCUCAGUAUCUUAGCAAGAC
This 496-nucleotide long non-coding RNA is filed under the name Marmota monax (woodchuck). Lineage: Eukaryota; Metazoa; Chordata; Mammalia; Rodentia; Sciuridae. The record is from RNAcentral.